CCAAAGGCUCUUUUAAGAGCCACUCCGUGUGCAAGAAAAGAGCUGU
Nipponia nippon (crested ibis) is the source of this 46-nucleotide regulatory RNA element. It matches the Rfam family "Histone 3' UTR stem-loop". Rfam says of the family: The mRNAs of metazoan histone genes lack a poly-A tail. 3' end processing occurs at a site between a highly conserved stem-loop (modelled by this family) and a purine rich region around 20 nts downstream (the histone downstream element, or HDE). Lineage: Eukaryota; Metazoa; Chordata; Aves; Pelecaniformes; Threskiornithidae. The record is from Rfam.